This 455-nucleotide ribosomal RNA is filed under the name uncultured eukaryote. RNAcentral's name for it is "eukaryotic LSU rRNA". It matches the Rfam family "Eukaryotic large subunit ribosomal RNA", at positions 1286 to 1740 of the family's 3401-position model. The record is from RNAcentral.
CAACUCACCAGCCGAAUUAACCAGACCCUGAAAAUUGAUGGCGCUAAGCGUGAUACCGAUACUCAACCAUCAUGGCAAAUAGAAGCUAGUGAUGAGUAAGAGGGCGUGAAGACUGUGUAGAAGGCUUGGAUGUGAAUCUGGUUGGAACAGUCUUUAGUGCAGAUCUUGGUGGUAGUAGCAAAUAUUCAAAUGAGAACUUUGAAGACCGAAGUGGAGAAGGGUUCCAUGAGAACAGCAUUUGGUCAUGGGUUACUCGAUCCUAAGACAUAGGGAAAUUCCUUGUAAUACAUUUGUACUUACGUACAUGUAGUCAAAAGGGAAUGAGGUUCAUAUUCCUCAAGCUGGAUGUGGGAGCUAUGUGGUAACACAAACAAGCUCGGAGACAUCGGUAUGUGCAACUGGAAGAGUUCUCUUUUCUUCUUAACAGUCUAUCUCCCUGAAAGGAUUAUCCAGAG